CCCGUCACACUCACGAAACGUGGAGUUGUACGUUAGAAACGUCCGGACACGGGCUGUAACCCCGGCAAAGGGGGANCGAGCCGGCCCAAGGUANGAUUCAUGAUUGGGGUG
RNAcentral lists this ribosomal RNA (111 nucleotides) under uncultured bacterium. RNAcentral describes it as "partial 16S ribosomal RNA". The record is from RNAcentral.